RNAcentral lists this ribosomal RNA (497 nucleotides) under uncultured bacterium. RNAcentral's name for it is "partial 16S ribosomal RNA". It matches the Rfam family "Bacterial small subunit ribosomal RNA", at positions 28 to 507 of the family's 1533-position model. The record is from RNAcentral.
GAUGAACGCUGGCGGCGUGCCUAAUACAUGCAAGUCGAGCGAACAGACGAGGAGCUUGCUCCUCUGACGUUAGCGGCGGACGGGUGAGUAACACGUGGAUAACCUACCUAUAAGACUGGGAUAACUUCGGGAAGCCGGAGCUAAUACCGGAUAACAUGUUGAACCGCAUGGUUCAACAGUGAAAGACGGUCUUGCUGUCACUUAUAGAUGGAUCCGCGCCGCAUUAGCUAGUUGGUAAGGUAACGGCUUACCAAGGCAACGAUGCGUAGCCGACCUGAGAGGGUGAUCGGCCACACUGGAACUGAGACACGGUCCAGACUCCUACGGGAGGCAGCAGUAGGGAAUCUUCCGCAAUGGGCGAAAGCCUGACGGAGCAACGCCGCGUGAGUGAUGAAGGUCUUCGGAUCGUAAAACUCUGUUAUUAGGGAAGAACAAAUGUGUAAGUAACUAUGCACGUCUUGACGGUACCUAAUCAGAAAGCCACGGCUAACUACGUG